This 272-nucleotide long non-coding RNA is filed under the name Mustela putorius furo (domestic ferret). RNAcentral's name for it is "lncRNA (ENSMPUG00000028241.1)". The record is from RNAcentral. Lineage: Eukaryota; Metazoa; Chordata; Mammalia; Carnivora; Mustelidae.
UGUUUCUUCAAAUCAGGAACAGCCAGAUGGAUGAGAUGCAUGAGUUUUGUAGGUUUAUAUGUGAUGGUGGAUGAGAGACUUUGUAAAAGAGCUUCAUGUUCCCUGCCAUCCCAUCUAGAAAGCAGGAAUAGAACAACACGAGUAUUUUCAGAAGAUCUGAAGAAAAUAUCAUUCAUGCAGAAUCAAGCUUCCUAUUCAAGUUCCUUCAAUCAGCUUAACAGGGGAGCAAGAGAUGACCGAUAAAAUUAAAUAAAUAAAUAAACAAACAAACA